CAGCAUAUGAUGAAUACUUGUUAUUAUUACUUUUCUUUCUGGCAUCUCUAAUGUUAGAGCUUCCGGCUCGAUGAAUAUAACCCUUGACACUUAUCUGAAG
RNAcentral lists this small nucleolar RNA (100 nucleotides) under Ogataea parapolymorpha DL-1. RNAcentral's name for it is "Small nucleolar RNA snR48". It matches the Rfam family "Small nucleolar RNA snR48". From Rfam's summary of the family: snR48 is a member of the C/D class of snoRNA which contain the C (UGAUGA) and D (CUGA) box motifs. Most of the members of the box C/D family function in directing site-specific 2'-O-methylation of substrate RNAs. The record is from Rfam by way of RNAcentral. Lineage: Eukaryota; Fungi; Ascomycota; Pichiomycetes; Pichiales; Pichiaceae.